UGGCUAGCGGCGGGCGCGCGCGUGGCCUGGGCCGGUCAGGUUCGGCGCGCGAGAUGGGUUGGGCCGGUUCGGCCCAUUUGGCCGGGUUGGUCCGGUUUUCCCCCUUUUUUCUUUUUCUUUUUCCUUUUUCUGAUUUCUUUGAUAUCUUUUUAUUUUGAACUCCAAAUUGAUCCAAAUAAAUUCCAGAAAAAAUUUUAAAUCUUUUUUUAUCAUGAUUCAAAUUUUGGGAGUAAUUUCCCCUCAAAAUAAAAUAUUUAAAAAUACAUUUGCCCUAUAAAUGCCUUUAGGGCUAUAUAUCUAUUUAAAUAAAAUAGUUUUUCAACUCCAAAUAAAUAUCCAAAAAAUUAUGGAAUAGCUUAUUUAUGCAAUAAACCCCAUUUAU
RNAcentral lists this long non-coding RNA (382 nucleotides) under Brachypodium distachyon (stiff brome). RNAcentral describes it as "long non-coding RNA (BDIS_LNC000530)". The record is from RNAcentral. Lineage: Eukaryota; Viridiplantae; Streptophyta; Magnoliopsida; Poales; Poaceae.